UACAGAGGGGGCUAGCGUUGUUCGAAAUUACUGGGCGUAAAGCGCACGUAGGCGGCUUUGUAAGUUAGAGGUGAAAGCCCAGGGCUCAACCCUGGAAUUGCCUUUAAGACUGCAUCGCUUGAACAUCGGAGAGGUAAGUGGAAUUCCGAGUGUAGAGGUGAAAUUCGUAGAUAUUCGGAAGAACACCAGUGGCGAAGGCGACUUACUGGACGAUUGUUGACGCUGAGGUGCGAAAGCGUGGGGAGCAAACAGG
Molecule: ribosomal RNA, 253 nt
Filed under: uncultured bacterium
Lineage: Bacteria
Description: partial 16S ribosomal RNA
Rfam family: Bacterial small subunit ribosomal RNA
Source: RNAcentral